AUUGAACGCUGGCGGCAUGCCUUACACAUGCAAGUCGAACGGCAGCACGGGUGCUUGCACCUGGUGGCGUGUGGCGAACGGGUGAGUAAUACAUCGAACGUACCUUAUCGUGGGGGAUAACGCAGCGAAAGCUGUGCUAAUACCGCAUACGCCCUGAGGGGGAAAGCGGGGGAUCGCAAGACCUCGCGCGAUUAGAGCGGCCGAUGCCUGAUUAGCUUGUUGGUGGGGUAAAAGCCCACCAAGGCGACGAUCAGUAGCUGGUCUGAGAGGACGAUCAGCCACACCGGGACUGAGACACGGCCCAGACUCCUACGGGAGGCAGCAGUGGGGAAUUUUGGACAAUGGGGGCAACCCUGAUCCAGCAAUGCCGCGUGAGUGAAGAAGGCCUUCGGGUUGUAAAGCUCUUUUGUCGGGGAAGAAACACCGGCUCUAACACAGUCCGGGAAUGACGGUAUCUGAAGAAUAAGCACCGGCUAACUACGUGCCAGCCGCCGCAGUAA
Molecule: ribosomal RNA, 500 nt
Filed under: uncultured bacterium
Lineage: Bacteria
Description: partial 16S ribosomal RNA
Rfam family: Bacterial small subunit ribosomal RNA
Source: RNAcentral